RNAcentral lists this non-coding RNA (30 nucleotides) under Mus musculus (house mouse). The record is from RNAcentral. Lineage: Eukaryota; Metazoa; Chordata; Mammalia; Rodentia; Muridae.
UCAAUUAGGUCCUCCUUUAUGAAUUUUCUC